AUUGAGGAUUUGGUUUCAACAUGAACUUGGAGAGGACACAAACAUUCAGACUCUAGAAAGCCUUACUCAACAUUUGAAAAUUGAACUUGAUCCUUUGGGCAACAGGAAGGAACAUGAUGAGAUAAAGACUUUAGAAUGAUAAUCCGAGGUUAGAGGACAUGAGAAAAAUGCCUAAUGCAGCACAGGAUACAGAUUCUCCAAAAAACUUUAAUUGACCUUUCAACUUCCCUUUCUCCCUUAAAGAAAGCAGGGCUCUGAAUCCCCAAGACAAAGUGCAUCCAGUAUUAUAUACUGAGAAGAGAAAAUGAACCAAGAAUAAGGUUCUACCAUGGUGUUGAUAUCAGUACAGUAUCCACAGAUGGGAGAAAAAAAUUCAUCUGCCAACCAUGGCUGUCAGAACUGCAAGCAUGGGGUUAACUCACUGUCCUUCACAAAUACCCUGCCCCAUACCAACCUGGCCUGUCUUUCCAUCGCAAGAGUGACGGUCAAAUAUGGCUGAACAGGAGCAAUUUCAUAUGAAUUACUUCUUAGAUUAACUGAGCAAACAAGAUUGCAACUUGCUAAAAGCCAAAGUACUUCCACUUCCUUCAAAAGCAACCACUUAUGACUGAUUUCUGCUCAUUAAGCCAGACUCUCGGAAGAUCUCUCCUUGGCAAUACUUUACUAGUUUAAAGGAGCCACUGGCAAAAUAUACUUCAAAGUAAGCUUCCCUGGAUUGGUCUUCCACAAUGCAGCUGUCUCACUGAUUCAUCCUGGCCCCUGCCCACUCCUGUCCAUGGGGAUUAUCAAACUUUCACCAUAAUUUCCUUAUAUAGUAUUUCCACAAGGGAAAUCCAUCAUCUGUCUCAAACGAUGAGUCAUCUAUCUAUAUUCACCCAAGAGCACUCCCCAUAUACCAUUCAUCUGCAAGUUGAGCCCAAUGUGGGCCUGGGCAGGUGUUCCAAAGCAUUUAGAAAGUCUUUGAAGUUCUCCUACAGAGGCUGCUUUCUGAUACAGUGUCUGAAAAACUUGCCUGGCAUCUCACUAGGGGGCUUCUUUGGUCCUCUGAUACCACAGCCACAUCGAUGAGAGCACUGCACACAUCCAAAACCGGAGAAAAGCAGGAGAGAGAGAGAAGCAACAUUAUACUGCUCACGGAAGCUCAGAGGGAGUAGAGAGCCUGCCUACAACUAAAAUGUCAUGUUAAAGGAGCUGUGACAAAAAAAACUACUUGAAAAUCUAGCAAUGUGCAUUUACAUCAUAGAACUACAUCUCUAUGGAAAAGCAUUCCAGUUUCAAGUUUUAUAAAACAGGAAACCAGAUGAAUCCCAAGAAGAAGAGGAGGAGCUUCAGAGAGGGGACAUGCUUUUCUCAAGAUGGGGAAACUGAGGCCCACAGCAACAAUAAUAACUGUGGGGAUGAUAUCAUUUAAUAUUGAAAAUAAGUGGAUAAUUGAGACCUCCAUUAUUAGUAGUUAAUUUUUAAAAAUCAAAGAUCUCUCCUAAUUAGCUUUAUGGAGCAAAUAAAUAUAUUUUCCAUAUUCAAAAAAAAAAAAAAAA
RNAcentral lists this long non-coding RNA (1538 nucleotides) under Homo sapiens (human). RNAcentral describes it as "uncharacterized LOC101928748 (LOC101928748)". Lineage: Eukaryota; Metazoa; Chordata; Mammalia; Primates; Hominidae. The record is from RNAcentral.